UUGUUUUAAAUUGCAAAUAAAAGUAUUAAAAAAAAAAUAAAUAAAUAAAUAAAUAAAUAAAGGGACACAUUUCAAAACCAUCAAAAAAAAUAAAAUAAUAAUUACAGGCUCCCAGACAACCAGCUCUGGAAGAAUUUCUACAGGGGCACAGGUCGCCCCCAUGGUUACCCACCUACUUUGUGGGAUGCCUGGGUUGAGUGAUCUGCCCU
This is a small nuclear RNA of Physella acuta, 209 nucleotides long. RefSeq annotates it as U12 minor spliceosomal RNA. Lineage: Eukaryota; Metazoa; Mollusca; Gastropoda; Physidae. The record is from RefSeq and is a predicted model, not a curated record.